Molecule: ribosomal RNA, 536 nt
Filed under: uncultured bacterium
Lineage: Bacteria
Description: bacterial SSU rRNA
Rfam family: Bacterial small subunit ribosomal RNA
Source: RNAcentral
UAGGGAAUUUUCGGCAAUGGGGGCAACCCUGACCGAGCAACGCCGCGUGAGUGAAGACGGCCUUCGGGUUGUAAAGCUCUGUUGUAAGGGAAGAACGGUAGAUAGAGAAUAUCUAAGUGACGGUACCUUACCAGAAAGCCACGGCUAACUACGUGCCAGCAGCCGCGGUAAUACGUAGGUGGCGAGCGUUAUCCGGAAUUAUUGGGCGUAAAGGGUGCGUAGGCGGCCUGUUAAGUAAGUGGUUAAAUUGUUGGGCUCAACCCAAUCCAGCCACUUAAACUGGCAGGCUAGAGUAUUGGAGAGGCAAGUGGAAUUCCAUGUGUAGCGGUAAAAUGCGUAGAUAUAUGGAGGAACACCAGUGGCGAAGGCGGCUUGCUAGCCAAAGACUGACGCUCAUGCACGAAAGCGUGGGGAGCAAAUAGGAUUAGAUACCCUAGUAGUCCACGCCGUAAACGAUGAAUACUAAGUAUUGGGGAAACUCAGUGCUGCAGCUAACGCAAUAAGUAUUCCGCCUGUGGAGUAUGCACGCAAGUGUG